UGGAGUGUAGCUCAGUUGGUAAAGCACUUGCCUAGCAUGCACAAAACCCUGGGUUCUAGCCCAGUACUGUAU
Molecule: transfer RNA, 72 nt
Filed under: Mesocricetus auratus (golden hamster)
Lineage: Eukaryota; Metazoa; Chordata; Mammalia; Rodentia; Cricetidae
Rfam family: tRNA
About the family: Transfer RNA (tRNA) molecules are approximately 80 nucleotides in length.
Source: Rfam by way of RNAcentral